Molecule: long non-coding RNA, 5893 nt
Filed under: Homo sapiens (human)
Lineage: Eukaryota; Metazoa; Chordata; Mammalia; Primates; Hominidae
Description: non-protein coding ID2-AS1:28
Source: RNAcentral
AGGCUCGCCCAGGCCCGGCCGCCGGCCCGCGCGCACCUGCAGACGCUGCACGUCUUAAGUUUCGAAACGGCCCCCCUCUCCGCCCUGGGGGAGCCGGGAGGAUGUGCAGCCCCAGUCCUCCUGCUCGGCGGAGCCUCGCGCGCGCAGAGCCUAGCGCGAUUCGCGCCCUCAUUACUACUACAAAGCGCGGGCCAGACCAAUCCCCUUUCUAAUGCACCAUUUUCGACUGAGAACAUCAAGAGGCCAGAAACUUCCAAGUCAGCUUGCAGACGCAGACGCCUCCUGGGGUCCUGGCUUUAAGAACCAGAUGCCAACACUCCCGGACAGUUUAUGGCAUCCGGAUCCCUCAAGGGUGCUCAUCUGCAGUUGAGAGUGAUUCUGUGUGAAGAAUACAGAGACAGACGUUCCAUUUCAAAGAAAAAAGAGCAACACGAAGGCCCUCUUUAAGGAGAGAGUAAACAUUCACUUUAGGUAAAAAAUAGUCUUUUACACGCCUGUGCACGGCACACCUCUUUUGCUGUUCACCUUGAGCCCAAGAGUUUGGAAAGGCUGCCCCCAUUUCAGAGAGGAAGAAACGCAGGCACACGUGAAUGACAGACUCCUCUGUGGUGGCCUAGACUCCAGCCAACACUUCCUAGGACAGCCUGCCAUUGUGCAAAGUCACCAUGUAACAAAUGCAGACAUCUCUGAGAUCACCAUGCAGUGAGGAAGUCUAAGCUGGUGGCAUGAAGAGGCCACAUGGAAAGGGCUAAAAAAGGGGCCAGCCUCAGUCAUCCCAGCUGAGCACCUGGCUGGGAAUAAAAGAGGACUCCGUGGAUGUCCAGCCCAGUAAGAUGACCUCAGCCCCAGCCACCAACUGACCAAGCACACAAGACAUCGUGAGGCUGCCUGCUGGAGCCUGGCCAGUGGGACUGUAGAGUAACUCAUUGUCGUGCAGGAACUCCUGGGAUGGUGUUGCCCAGUGACACAAUCCCAGUGUGGCCAUUUCUGAUCCCGAGAAAGCAGUCAGGAGUGGGUGGAUGCAGUUACAGUUCAUCAAGUCCUGCUAGUUCAAGUCAUGAGUCCUGAAUUCUCCAGGAGGAGCCACUAAAGAAAUGCAGAAGCAGGCAAUCCUUGCAAUAAGGCCAGCAAACUGCCAGUGUGAAGGAUGCCCAGGUAACCUGCCCAUGCCAGAACGGCCAGGAGAUGGUGGAACCAGAAUCUAAGCCCACGCCCAUCUGACCUCAAAGUCUGUGCUCCUGAGGUUCGCACCGAGUUGCCUCCUAAGACUUGCUGAAACUGGAUCACGUCCAUUUACCCAUCUCUGAGAGAAAUGCAAGCUUUAAAAAAGGAAAUAUUUACUAUGGAUAUUUUACAAUAGUUCCAAAACAUGAAAGUUUUAAAUAAGAUAUUCUUAACCAUCCUCACCACAUCUUCAGGUUCCCUUACAGCCACUGUGUUUUGACGAUUGCCCAUUAGAAAAAAAGACUAUGCUUUCUGUAGGUUUUAAAGGAAUGGUGGUGAAAUAAGGAGCAUUCCCUGAGCAGAUCUUGCCUGCGGGCACACCUCUGAGCAUUGGACCAGGCGAGAAGAGCCCAUGUGUUGGCUGCUUUGGGAUCCCAGCACUGCCAAUGGCAGGUGGGCUGUGGCCCAGGGAGAGAACCUAGCCUUUUGCAUUCUCUUGCCCCAUUUGAAAAUGGAGACGAUAGUGGCGCCCCGCUCAGUGUUAUUUUGAGGAUUUGAAUGUAUCUCAGAUGUAGUACCUGGAAAAAUAUAAGUGCUCAGUAAAUACGGUUGCCAGAUAAAAUGCAGGAAACCUAUUUAAAUUUAAGUUUUGGCUGGACAAUGAAUAGAAUAAUUUUUCUUAGUAUGAGUAUGUCCUUAUAUUUCAUCUGCUAAAUUUAGCAACCUCCUCAGUAAACGAUCACUACAAUUGCAGAAACGCCUUAUGACAGAUAUAGUAAAUCUGUAAAGAAAUAGGAACUUGCAUUUAUUUUUACUAAGCUCUGACUGGUUAAGAUAACUGGGCAAGAGAAGAUAUCUUCGACUAAACUUGCAGCACAUAGAGUAUAGAGAUUCAAAUUUGAAGUCCUAUAGGACUAGAAUGGCCAGAGGUGAACUGUAGCGAGCUUAUCUAAAGAGGACCAAUUUCAAAAGUUCCUCAGAGACUUAAAUGGGCCCACAGACCCCUCCUGUGUCUUUGCAUAAGCCAGCUCGUUAUAUCAGUUAUAAGUUGAUUUCCAGAGAAAUGUACCCUGGAGAUCCCUCUCCCACUUGAAAUAGGACUGGCCAAUCCAGAUGUCCCCCAGGUGAUGUUGGCUCAAAUGGAGCUCCAUAUAUUGGAGAAUCUAUUCAAGAAAACAAGCAAAAGUAUUUGUGACUGAGUUAGCUAAUGCCAGCUGGUAUCUUGAACAAACCCAGAUCUCUAACAUGCUAGUUUAUUUCGUAGUGUAAAAUGUGUGUUACUGAUGGGCAGACAGCUCUCAUUCAAGCAGUGACAGAUGUAAGCUCUUCCCAUUUUUGUGGCCCCAUUGUAUUCGGCGUGUGGCUUCCAAGUUGCCUGGGAUCAUCUCCACCCAGACUAAGGAAGAGGAAAGAGCUUGGACAACUGCACUUGGCUGGUUUUUAUGGAUCAGGCAAGGAAUUGGCUCCAACACAUUAGCUCACAUUCCAUUGGUUAGAACUGGGUUUCUCAACUAUUAGUACAGGGUGAGUGUAGGGUUUUGGCACCAUGGGCAUUUGAGCUGGCCAAAGGCUAAUCAGAGUUAGAACAAAGCCACAAAGCCUGUGAAUGGUGUUUAUUGUUGUGAGGAGCUGUCUUGUGCAUUGUGGAAUGUUCAGCAGGAUGCUCUCUGGCCUCAGAGACUCACUAGAUUCCCAUAGAACUCUCCUCUCUCCUCUAGUUGUGACAACCACAGUUGCCUCCUCUCCAGACAUUGCUAGAUGUCCCCGGGAGGCAAAAUUGUCCUGGUUGAGAACCACUGUGUUAGAACUCGGUCACAUGGCCAUACCUAACUGCAAGGGAGGGGGCUGGAAGAUCUAGACGAGUAGUAUGCCAGGAAGAAAAUAGAACUGAUUUAGAGGCUGCUGGCCAGUCACUUUCAGUGACCUUCAGCAUACUUAUUCCUCUGCAGCUGUCAGGACACUCAUGCCUGUUUCUGAGAUGUUUCCUGUGUGAGGGGACAUAGUGACUAUUGGAGGGGUGACAUGUUGGACUUGGGUAGGGUGAAGAGGAUUGGAAACCACCAUCAUGUUUGGCAGCAUUGAAUGUUUAUGACUAUUUGAAUAGUUGUGACAAGGGUACAGUGAAGGAGGAAGUAACCAUUUUUGAAUACCCUUUUACAAUUUGCAAAGCACUUUUAAAGGUAAGAGUGAGUUCCUAGACCAUAUUAGGGUGAGAAUGGACAUUGUUGGCUGCCAUAUCAUUGGGCAGGGGCUUUGAGAUUUUUGUCUUCAGAAGGCAGAUUAGAUUUGGAGUAGAAGGAGAAAUGUAAAGACCUGGUAUCUGAGUGUGUUUGCAGAGGGGAAUUGUCGUUUGGAAGCACAAGAAAGGGAAUGGCCCGUUGGCACAUAUGGUACAUUGUGUUUUCAUAUAAUUAUACCUGAAUGAAAGCAAGAGGAAACGUGUAGGAAGCUGUUUACAUAGUCCUUUUAAUAAUGUUUACAUGAGUUAAUGAACAUGCAAACGUAUCUGAUGAAAACAUGUCAGUAGUGAAACAGCCUUGUGAAGAAUCAGAUCUUACCUCAGGCUGGAAAAAAGGACUGGUUUUCCAAGCUCACAAAUUGCAGCCAGUGUGAAUAGUAGCACAAAUGACUGAGCUUUAAGACAUCCAUCCAUCCAUCUAUCCAUCCCCUCAUCCAUCCAUCCCCUCAUCCAUCCACCCAUCCAUCCAUCCCUUCAUCCAUCACUCCAUCCAGCCAUCCGUCCCUUCAUCAAUCCAUCCAUCCCUUCAUCCAUCCAUCCAUCCUUCCUUCCAUUCAUCCCUUCAUCCAUCCGUCCAUCCAUCCAUCCAUCCACUCAUUCAUCCCUUCAUCCAUCCAUCCAUCCAUCCUUCCUUCCUUCCAUUCAUCCCUUCAUCCAUCCGUCCAUCCAUCCAUCCACCCAUUCAUCCAUCCAUUCCUUCAUCAACUCAUCCCUUCAUCCAUCGUCUACCAUUCAUUCACCCCUUCAUCCAUCCAUUCAUUUAUCCAUCCGUCCAUUUACUUCCAUCCAUCCCUUUAUCCAUCCAUUCACCCAUUCAUCCCUUUAUCCAUAUGUCCAUUCCUCCAUCCAUCCAUCCAUCCAUUUACUCUUCAUCCCUUCAUCCAUUUUUCCAUCCAUUCAUCCAUUCAUCUUUUCAUCCAUCCAUCCAUUGAUCUAUCCAUCCAUCCAUUGCUCCAUCCAACCAUCCAUCCAUCCCUUCGUCCCUUCAUCCAUCCAUCCAUUCAUCCCAUCAUCCAUUGAUCACUUCAUCCAUCCAUCCUUCCAUCCUUCCAUCCAUUCUUCCAUUCAUCCAUCCAUGUGUUCAGCAAGUAUUUACUGAAUGCCUAUUAUGUGCCAAGCACUCUCCUCAGAACUUAGGAAAUACCAGGAAACAAAAUCAACAACAAUCCCUCACCACCUGGAUAUUACAUUUUGGUGGGAAGAGACAAAGAAAUAAAAUUGGUGAGUGAAUCACAUAGGUUAUUAGAAGGUGAUAAAGGUGUAGGUGAUAAAGGAGAAGUGCCAGGAGCAAGGAUUGGGUACAGUUGUGAAUAAGGUGGCCCCAAUAGGUUGCACUGAGAAGGUGACAUUUGCACAGAGACUUGAAGAAAGGAAGGAGAGAACAUGACUGUACCUGGGUAACAGCAUUUGUGGAAGAGGGAACAGCCAGUGUAAAAGUUCCAAGGCAUGAGUGCCUGGUACAUACAUGGAACAUCGAGGCCAGGGUGGCAGAAACGCGGUGAGUCCAGGAAGGGAAUAGGAACUAAGUGUAGGAAGGUGUACAGUGGGGUGGUGUGGGGGUGGAAUUGUGGCAGCCAGAUGGUGUUGGCCUAAGGCCUCUUGGCCCUUGUUAGGACUUGGUUUACCAUGGCGCAACACAUCCAUGAGAUUGGCAAAAAUUAAAAAGUCUGACAACAGAAAAUCUGGUAAUCUGGUGAGGAUGUGGAGCAGUGGGAAUUCUCCAAUACUGCCAGGGAGCAUGGGCAUCAAUCCCACCACACUGGAAUGCAAAGGGGCAUUCUGAGUAGAACUGAAGAUGUGCCCAUCCUUGACCCCACAGUUCCAGCCAUGGGCAUGCGCAUGAAUGUGCACACGUGUUGACUGCGGCAUUUGUUUGUCAUUAUGAAAACAUCUAAGUUUCCAUCUAUGGGAGAGGGGAUAAUGUGGGAGUGCCCAACAGUGGAGUUCUAGAGAGCAGUAAAAAUAAAUGGACUAGAGCUGCACACGUCAAAAUGGAUGAAGAUAAAAGACAUAAGGAUGGAAGAAGACCACCUGGCCACAGAAGUAUAUGUCCAAUAUGAUGCUGGUGUAUCCAGAGUGUUCAAACAAACAACACAACACUACUCAUUGUUUCCAACGUGAGUAUGAAAGUAUGGAGCAGUGCGGAGGGCCAGGAGUGCUGAAUCCACAUGGUUACUUCUCCAGGCGGGGGCCGAGGACCAGGGCUGGAGGUUUACUCCAGGAGCUUCAGUGGUGCAUGCUGAAUGUGCUGUUUCUUGGGCUGGGGGACAGAGAUGUGCAUGCUGUUAUACACUCUAUAUUGAAAUGAUUGUAUAACAAUAUACUAAUUUAUCAUGUAAUAAAUUUGACCAGAAAGAAACAACUGUUCUGUGGCUGCUUCCAUGACUGGAUUUCACGUUGUAGGUUUCUAAGCAGAGAGUCCAAGGAAAACCAAAGGAGCGGCGGAAGGAUAAGCCUCCCGGGUGUUCUGGGAGUGUCCCUUUGCUUGGG